RNAcentral lists this ribosomal RNA (448 nucleotides) under Clostridioides difficile. RNAcentral's name for it is "bacterial SSU rRNA". It matches the Rfam family "Bacterial small subunit ribosomal RNA", at positions 943 to 1390 of the family's 1533-position model. The record is from RNAcentral. Lineage: Bacteria; Bacillati; Bacillota; Clostridia; Peptostreptococcales; Peptostreptococcaceae.
GGUUUAAUUCGAAGCAACGCGAAGAACCUUACCUAAGCUUGACAUCCCAAUGACAUCUCCUUAAUCGGAGAGUUCCCUUCGGGGACAUUGGUGACAGGUGGUGCAUGGUUGUCGUCAGCUCGUGUCGUGAGAUGUUGGGUUAAGUCCCGCAACGAGCGCAACCCUUGUCUUUAGUUGCCAUCAUUAAGUUGGGCACUCUAGAGAGACUGCCAGGGAUAACCUGGAGGAAGGUGGGGAUGACGUCAAAUCAUCAUGCCCCUUAUGCUUAGGGCUACACACGUGCUACAAUGGGUAGUACAGAGGGUUGCCAAGCCGUAAGGUGGAGCUAAUCCCUUAAAGCUACUCUCAGUUCGGAUUGUAGGCUGAAACUCGCCUACAUGAAGCUGGAGUUACUAGUAAUCGCAGAUCAGAAUGCUGCGGUGAAUGCGUUCCCGGGUCUUGUACACAC